GGGGAUAUAGCUCAGUUGGUAGAGUGCUUGCCUUGCAUGCAUAAGGCCCUGGGUUCAAUCCUCAGCACCA
This 70-nucleotide transfer RNA is filed under the name Marmota monax (woodchuck). It matches the Rfam family "tRNA". From Rfam's summary of the family: Transfer RNA (tRNA) molecules are approximately 80 nucleotides in length. Their secondary structure includes four short double-helical elements and three loops (D, anti-codon, and T loops). Further hydrogen bonds mediate the characteristic L-shaped molecular structure. tRNAs have two regions of fundamental functional importance: the anti-codon, which is responsible for specific mRNA codon recognition, and the 3' end, to which the tRNAs corresponding amino acid is attached (by aminoacyl-tRNA synthetases). tRNAs cope with the degeneracy of the genetic code in two manners: having more than one tRNA (with a specific anti-codon) for a particular amino acid; and 'wobble' base-pairing, i.e. permitting non-standard base-pairing at the 3rd anti-codon position. Lineage: Eukaryota; Metazoa; Chordata; Mammalia; Rodentia; Sciuridae. The record is from Rfam by way of RNAcentral. RNAcentral also lists the same sequence under 2 other names.